UGUUCUAAUAUGUGGGUCCAUGUUUUCUAUUCAUCGGUAAAUAAAUAACCAAUAUUCAAAUCAAAACAACCAGAAAGCAUAGAUAAUACUUCAAAUAUCAGCCAAAAUAAGUCUGUUACAUCAUAUAACUUAGAUACAAUGGUAAUCACAGCCACAAGCUCUACAAGUCUCUACAAGUGUAAUCGCAACCACAAGCUCUACAAGUGCCCUUUGACAACUUCAAGUAGCCCUUCGGUUUCUAUCAGUCCCGAUUUGAGGAACACACCAGGCUUCAGGGUCUUCUCCAUAGUGUCGACCAAAGAUCUCACCCUUCAUCGGCAUCAGAGUGAUGCACCUGAACAUGGCAGGGAAAAGGAUUACCUGCCAAAAGCCAAAUUUAUACAAGAUAUCAGCCUUUCAGUGGUGCAGAAUAUCAUAGAACCAUGCUUCAGCAUUACAGGGCAUGGAAACGUAAAAUGCAAUUUUUUCACAAAAGGCGUACAAUCACAAAUUUACUAUCCACAAAAUUAAAUUGGAAAAAACAAGUGAAACAGUGAAGUGCAUGUCAGCCUUAGUGUUUCUAUUUCCUACAAAUGACUGAGACCAUGGUGUUUCAACCUUUUGCAAAACACUAUUCUAUAACAAUAUAUAUUGAGCAUGCUACAGCAAAAGCUUGAAUUUAUGGUUUCUAUACUUCUACAUUAUACAUCCUCAGUAAUAUAGACCUUUUUGCUACAUACUGUACACGACAAUAGGAGAAAAAUUCUAAUAAAUUCAUUACACGCUUGCCAAUAAAAAUGACAAGUUAACUACACACCAGGGAACAUAAACUUGAGAGGUUAAGAUCAAGGCCUAUCAACUACGUCAUAUAUAUGCAUUAAAAAAGAAGGCCAUAUGGACGACCAAUGCAUCAUAAUUAUCAGUUUUAAACACUACAGGACCAGAAAGUAGGUGCUACUUCAAGUUUUAGAACUCAACCAUUCAUCAGUAAUAGUAGCAAUUUAAUCUUACUAAAGAUAGGCACUACAGCCAGAACUUACACGCAAAGAUCCUGGAAUUUUAUGCACAACACCAGCAGAUUAACUAUAUGAACACAAUACCAGAAUUUUAUGCAUCAUGAAUGAAGAAAUCAAAAUAGGAUGCUUCGCUUUACUUGUGUGCGGAGGAUAAGCAAAAGUAGCAUCACAUGCUUUUCCUAUUUGCUUUGCUUUCCUAUUAGUAUCUCCGGUCAAUCAAACAGGAUGCAGUAAGUGAUUACAUUAACCCUGAUUCAAAUAUUUGAAGUACUGGACAAUCAUUUCAUGCAGCCAUUCCUAAACAUACUACUACAAGGGAAUUACAACUUUUAUUUUAAGCCUAAUGUUUAAGUACGUAAACUUUCCUCAAGAGUCCCUACACACUACUACUCAACUACCAUACGUGCGUAGUACUCUGUCAGUAAGCAGCAGAGGAGAUUGAAACGUAAGGACCAUGUGUGUGUGUGUGUGUGUAGAAAACACACACAAUAAACACUGAACAUCACUAGUCACCCUACACAUAGCAAGCUUCAGAUGUUUAGAACAGAUCAACAUGUUGAGCAGUUAGGGAAUCACGAGAAGGAAGUAGGAAGGUGGAUCAUGAUGGUCUCACCUUGUUGCCGUCGUCCUCAUCCAACCCCGGCGACCAAGUACACAUCCAAGCCAGUUCACGAAUCCAUGGGUGCUAGCUUGCCUACCAGCACCAGCAUUGUGCCCCUGGAUGCCACAAAAACAACCUGACUUGUAAGCAUAGAUAGAGAAGAACAAAAGCGAAACAACACACUAAUGCUAAAGUGCCUCCGAGUAUAAUCUUAAUAUAGCCAGCAACACUUAAAAGAAAUAAUAUCUAUAGAAGAUUCCAUACAAAGUAGAACAGUUGUACUUGGCAAUGCACACAUAGCUACUGGUAACUGGUUAUUUUGGUUCAUUGUCAUCAAAUUAAAAAAGAACCAAAGGAACAUACAAAGAGU
This 1966-nucleotide long non-coding RNA is filed under the name Triticum aestivum (bread wheat). RNAcentral describes it as "long non-coding RNA (TAES_LNC021737)". The record is from RNAcentral. Lineage: Eukaryota; Viridiplantae; Streptophyta; Magnoliopsida; Poales; Poaceae.